Molecule: ribosomal RNA, 1477 nt
Filed under: Enterococcus hirae
Lineage: Bacteria; Bacillati; Bacillota; Bacilli; Lactobacillales; Enterococcaceae
Description: bacterial SSU rRNA
Rfam family: Bacterial small subunit ribosomal RNA
Source: RNAcentral
AUGCAAGUCGAACGCUUCUUUUUCCACCGGAGCUUGCUCCACCGGAAAAAGAGGAGUGGCGAACGGGUGAGUAACACGUGGGUAACCUGCCCAUCAGAAGGGGAUAACACUUGGAAACAGGUGCUAAUACCGUAUAACAAUCGAAACCGCAUGGUUUUGAUUUGAAAGGCGCUUUCGGGUGUCGCUGAUGGAUGGACCCGCGGUGCAUUAGCUAGUUGGUGAGGUAACGGCUCACCAAGGCGACGAUGCAUAGCCGACCUGAGAGGGUGAUCGGCCACAUUGGGACUGAGACACGGCCCAAACUCCUACGGGAGGCAGCAGUAGGGAAUCUUCGGCAAUGGACGAAAGUCUGACCGAGCAACGCCGCGUGAGUGAAGAAGGUUUUCGGAUCGUAAAACUCUGUUGUUAGAGAAGAACAAGGAUGAGAGUAACUGUUCAUCCCUUGACGGUAUCUAACCAGAAAGCCACGGCUAACUACGUGCCAGCAGCCGCGGUAAUACGUAGGUGGCAAGCGUUGUCCGGAUUUAUUGGGCGUAAAGCGAGCGCAGGCGGUUUCUUAAGUCUGAUGUGAAAGCCCCCGGCUCAACCGGGGAGGGUCAUUGGAAACUGGGAGACUUGAGUGCAGAAGAGGAGAGUGGAAUUCCAUGUGUAGCGGUGAAAUGCGUAGAUAUAUGGAGGAACACCAGUGGCGAAGGCGGCUCUCUGGUCUGUAACUGACGCUGAGGCUCGAAAGCGUGGGGAGCAAACAGGAUUAGAUACCCUGGUAGUCCACGCCGUAAACGAUGAGUGCUAAGUGUUGGAGGGUUUCCGCCCUUCAGUGCUGCAGCUAACGCAUUAAGCACUCCGCCUGGGGAGUACGACCGCAAGGUUGAAACUCAAAGGAAUUGACGGGGGCCCGCACAAGCGGUGGAGCAUGUGGUUUAAUUCGAAGCAACGCGAAGAACCUUACCAGGUCUUGACAUCCUUUGACCACUCUAGAGAUAGAGCUUCCCCUUCGGGGGCAAAGUGACAGGUGGUGCAUGGUUGUCGUCAGCUCGUGUCGUGAGAUGUUGGGUUAAGUCCCGCAACGAGCGCAACCCUUAUUGUUAGUUGCCAUCAUUUAGUUGGGCACUCUAGCAAGACUGCCGGUGACAAACCGGAGGAAGGUGGGGAUGACGUCAAAUCAUCAUGCCCCUUAUGACCUGGGCUACACACGUGCUACAAUGGGAAGUACAACGAGUCGCAAAGUCGCGAGGCUAAGCUAAUCUCUUAAAGCUUCUCUCAGUUCGGAUUGUAGGCUGCAACUCGCCUACAUGAAGCCGGAAUCGCUAGUAAUCGCGGAUCAGCACGCCGCGGUGAAUACGUUCCCGGGCCUUGUACACACCGCCCGUCACACCACGAGAGUUUGUAACACCCGAAGUCGGUGAGGUAACCUUUUGGAGCCAGCCGCCUAAGGUGGGAUAGAUGAUUGGGGUGAAGUCGUAACAAGGUAGCCGUA